AUAAGGUGCUUCUUUCCAGCAUGCUGGCUAUGAUCGUGAGUGUGGUACAAGGACCCAGCUCAGGAGUUAGUCUUCUAUUAAUGCUGUGUUAUUCCCUAGGCUCAGUGUGUACCAAACUGAGAAGAACACAUGGGUUAUGGUCUAGGGAGCUUAUAGUCUAAGCCCCCGAUCCUGCAACUUGUUCUGUGUGGAUGCCCUGGUACCUGCCUGGAGCCCCAAAUGAAAGCAGUGGGCAUCGGCUUGGGUGUCGGAGUCGGUCUGUCUGGAACAAGAUGUAGGACUGAGCCCUAAAUUAUACAAGCAGCACAGCCCAAAUACAAUGUCACUCAUCUGUUAAACAUGCCUAGGACAUAGAUGUCGCAGAGCCGGAAGACCAACUCUUCCAGUUCAAGAAAGAUUUGGUAUAAUCUGUAAAACAAAAAUUUUGUCUCCCUAAUCAGUUCCCUCAUUUCUUUAUGCAGCAAGGAAACCUGCAUUCCUCUGGAUGACUGGUGAUUAUCUGACAGCUUCUCUGGACCUCCUAUGGAGAAAGAUGAAAACAUUGUUGAUAGGCUGCAAAUACUUCUAUCUAAUGCAGUGAGCUAGAAACUUAACGAUGAUCCCUAGAGGUUAGGCAGUGAGAUUAGAAAGCUGGGCAGAGAAUAAUUUCAUCUUCCUAAAAUGUCUAAGCCUGAGAUGCAUCAAACACCCACUAUUCCUUCAGCUUCAACGGGGAUAGGGCUGGAUUUAGGUAUGAGCACUAUAGGCUCCUAUCCUGGAAUUGUGUGAGUACAUCAGAAUCCAGCUUUCCUUUAAAAAAAAAAAAAAAAAAAAAAAGUGAGUUUCUAGCCCUUAUGGCCAGGAAGAAAAGCUUGAAAAGUGACCUGAGUAUAAAUGAUGCAGUGAUGUCUGUCUGCAUCUGCAGGCCACCUGAAACAAUAGCUCUCAGAUGGGUGAAGAGUCCCAUGCAUCUCAAUGGAGUGUUAACUCCCAGCCCACAGGUCUGGAGAUCCUGCAGAGGGAUCUGUCUGGCAGGAGGCCCGCCUACCCUCCCACCCAAGUAGCGACAGCCUGGCUGCCAGGAUAAGCAAUGGGGACCCCCUAUUGCUGCCACCUCUAGUGCUUCUGAGUGGGUGGGGAGCCUCUGCUGCCACUCCUAAGCAGAGAGAGGCCCUAUGUUGCCGCCCCUGUGAAGGGAAAGGGCCCUGUCCCACUGCUACUCCAAGGAGGCUGGGCUGUCAGGGUAAAGCCAUAGGGACCCCAUGUUGUGCUGUGCCUAGAGUUUGGAAUUCUCUUAGUCUGGGGGUUGUGGAUGCUCGCUAAAUUCAGGCCCGUGCUAUGGAUUAUGAGGUGAAGAGUGAAGAUAUGAAAGACAGCCUGCUGUGGUUUAACAGCUAUACCGAUUAGAAGGGUAGGUAAAAUUCAUUGUGCACAAUGUCCUUUUCUGUGCAAGGUAAAUGGUGCAUGGGCCUUGUGCCCGCUCUCUGUAUCAGGGUGAAUUUCACCCAUUGCCUUAUCAGCAGGUUUCAGAGCCCUUCACAAAGUGAAGUAUCAGGACCCUCCCACUUCAAGGAUGGAGAAACUGAGGUGUAGAGAGACCGUGAGUUGCUAGGUUACGCAGCACGUUAGCAGCAGACGGCCUGAUCCAACGCUUGUUGAAAUCAGUGGGAGUCCUUCCAUUGAUGUCAGUGGUCUUUAGAUUAGGGCCAGAGUGAGGAAUAGCACCUAGGAACCCUGAUUCCCUGUCCUGCAUGCUAUUCUCCCAAUCAUGCUGACUACCCCUGCUGUGUUUAUUAAAGGGAUCCCAUGAAGGGAGAUUUAAGAGCAGUCUAGCCCUCUCAGAAGCCAGACGGCUUUUCACUAUCCGCUCUAAAGCUGCUGUUUUCAGUGCAGCUCUGUCUGCUGAUGGUCCCAGCACAGCUCUUGUCUUCAGACAUGCUGAGAUGUAAUUAGUCUAGCAGGUGUCCAGUACUGCAGCUUGUUAAUAAGAAUCCCUAAGAUAAUGCCGUAAGCGUGUAUGAUGCUUUCAGAAGAAGGGUACAUUUCCUGCCCCUGAAAAGCUCUCAAUUGCCUUCUAUCCUAGGCAACUUUUAGCAUCUCACAUAGGUUCCGUCUUACCCCAUGUGCAUACACUCGGCAAUAAUUAGUUUGCUGGAUUCACAAAGAAUUUCUCGAACGUCCCCUCCGCUGUAAAGCUAUAACUUCCUCAGAAAAAUAAUCCAAGUUCAAAGUCUCCAUUUUUAAACUGAAUUAAGGUAACCAGGUUUCUCACUUUGCAACUUUUGUCCAUCAGAGCAUCUUUGUCCUGCGUAGCACUCCACGCAGGUUCAACACCUGGCACAGGCUUUGGAGUAGAGCUGGCUGGAAUUCUGAAAUUUCAAAAAAAAUAGGUCAUUUCUACAUGGAAGAUCCAGUAAAGUCUACAAGUGUAGGACAUCAAUGGAAAAGGAGGGAAAAGAGACACAGGUGUUUUUUCUUCAAGCCUUGUGAUUUAUACGGGACCUCCAGGAAUGACCCACAUCCUGAGGCAUUUGCUCAUUCUUAGCCCAACUUUUUAUCUGGCCGGCUGCCUGAGAGCAAAAAUCUUUCUAUAAUAUAAAGAACAGGGACAUAACCGAGAGGAAGGCCGAUCUCGACAGAACCUGCAAACGCCUGAGCUUGACGAUUGGUAACCACGGCAACAGGGCCUCCUUUGAAAUAAUUGUUUGUUACAGAUCCCCAUUUUGUGCGGAGAACUGGUCAGCAUUAAAAAUUGGAGAAGACAAGGAAAGGUCUAUGAGGCAAGCAAAGGCAUCAGCCUGGCCUAUCGGAACUGGCUGCCACCCAGCUGAGUAAAUUAAAGCUGGCACUGCCCGGGGGAGCAGUGUUAAAUGGUGGUUUGACGAUGCCCAGCAAAUGGCUAAGCAGGCUGCUGCAGGUCCUCAACUUUUUGAGUGAGGAAAAGAAAGAUUUAGCAACCCAAAGUGCCCACGUAAGAGUGAAAGGGACCACGUGCAGCUCUCGUGUGAAUCCACUGGAGUUACUCCAGAUUUACGUUGUUGUAAUGGCAAGCAGAAUCCAGCCCAAGGCCUUUGCCGUAUGGAAAACUGCUACAGGCUCUGAUUCUGGGUUGCUCUGCUUGGCAUGGGAACAAUGGGGAGGGGUUUUUAUAAACCACCUUGUGCUCCCCAUGAUCUGGAGAAGGUUGGGGUCCUGCCGUGCCCAUGUGUAAAUUAGGUCAGCCUUAGGGCUGCUAUAAUUUACACUCUGCUCCCCAUGCACCCUUAGCACAGUGCUCUGGCUACAUUCCCCUUUGUCCCCCUCAAAUGUCCCCUUCCUCUGAUCGUCCCGGCCCAUCCCCGACACGACCCUUAUACUGAGUGGGGAAGAAGUCUUGUGCUGGCUUUAUACGGGGCAGUGAGGCCCAUUGCACGGGGGUAAUUCCUGAGGUGCAUCUCCCGUGGCUUUCUGACCCCCUUGUGCUGCUGGAGAGGAGCAUCGAGGCCAAUCACAACUGAGAAUAGGACCGAUAGAAUUUAACAUCAACAGUCUUUUUGAUGGUGUUUUUAAA
This is a long non-coding RNA of Dermochelys coriacea (leatherback sea turtle), 3529 nucleotides long. RefSeq lists it as uncharacterized. Lineage: Eukaryota; Metazoa; Chordata; Testudines; Dermochelyidae. The record is from RefSeq and is a predicted model, not a curated record. The transcript is spliced from 3 exons.